CGCCUCCUGCAAAAAUCAACGUAUAGGAGGUCUUACCUGCCCAGUGACAUGUUAAACGGCCGCGGUAUUUUGACCGUGCGAAGGUAGCGCAAUCACUUGUCUCUUAAAUAAAGACCUGUAUGAAUGGUGGAACGAGGGCUUAACUGUCUCCCCUUUCAAGUCAAUGAAAUUGAUCUGCCCGUGCAGAAGCGGACAUGUAUUUACAAGACGAGAAGACCCUUUGGAGCUUAAGAUGUAAGAUCAACUAUGUCAAAAACCCAGUUAAACUAAAUAGCACCUGAUCCCAGUCUUCAGUUGGGGCGACCACGGGAGAAAAUAAAGCUCCCACGCGGACCGGGGACUCCCCCCAAAACCAAGAGAAACAAUUCUAAGUCGCAGAAUUUCUGACCAAAAGAUCCGGCCACCCGCCGACCAGCGAACCAAGUUACCCUAGGGAUAACAGCGCAAUCCCCUUUCAGAGUCCAUAUCGACAAGGGGGUUUACGACCUCGAUGUUGGAUCAGGACAUCCUAAUGGUGUAGCCGCUAUUAAGGGUUCGUUUGUUCAACGAUUAAAGUCCU
This 559-nucleotide ribosomal RNA is filed under the name Noturus miurus (brindled madtom). RNAcentral describes it as "partial large subunit ribosomal RNA". It matches the Rfam family "Bacterial large subunit ribosomal RNA", at positions 1816 to 2597 of the family's 2925-position model. Lineage: Eukaryota; Metazoa; Chordata; Actinopteri; Siluriformes; Ictaluridae. The record is from RNAcentral.